This 73-nucleotide transfer RNA is filed under the name Bos taurus (domestic cattle). It matches the Rfam family "tRNA". From Rfam's summary of the family: Transfer RNA (tRNA) molecules are approximately 80 nucleotides in length. Their secondary structure includes four short double-helical elements and three loops (D, anti-codon, and T loops). Lineage: Eukaryota; Metazoa; Chordata; Mammalia; Artiodactyla; Bovidae. RNAcentral also lists the same sequence under 2 other names. The record is from Rfam by way of RNAcentral.
UCCCUCGUGGCUCAGACGGUAAAAGCAUCUGCCUACAAUGCAGGAGACCUGGGUUUGAUUCCUGGGUUGGGAA